RNAcentral lists this ribosomal RNA (551 nucleotides) under uncultured bacterium. Its description in RNAcentral is "bacterial SSU rRNA". It matches the Rfam family "Bacterial small subunit ribosomal RNA", at positions 355 to 896 of the family's 1533-position model. The record is from RNAcentral.
UAGGGAAUCUUCCGCAAUGGACGAAAGUCUGACGGAGCAACGCCGCGUGAGUGAUGAAGGCUUUCGGGUCGUAAAACUCUGUUGUUAGGGAAGAACAAGUGCUAGUUGAAUAAGCUGGCACCUUGACGGUACCUAACCAGAAAGCCACGGCUAACUACGUGCCAGCAGCCGCGGUAAUACGUAGGUGGCAAGCGUUAUCCGGAAUUAUUGGGCGUAAAGCGCGCGCAGGUGGUUUCUUAAGUCUGAUGUGAAAGCCCACGGCUCAACCGUGGAGGGUCAUUGGAAACUGGGAGACUUGAGUGCAGAAGAGGAAAGUGGAAUUCCAUGCGUAGCGGUGAAAUGCGUAGAGAUUUGGAGGAACACCAGUGGCGAAGGCGACUUUCUGGUCUGUAACUGACACUGAGGCGCGAAAGCGUGGGGAGCGAACAGGAUUAGAUACCCUGGUAGUCCACGCCGUAAACGAUGAGUGCUAAGUGUUAGAGGGUUUCCGCCCUUUAGUGCUGAAGUUAACGCAUUAAGCACUCCGCCUGGGGAGUACGGCCGCAAGGCUG